Molecule: ribosomal RNA, 465 nt
Filed under: Vreelandella stevensii
Lineage: Bacteria; Pseudomonadati; Pseudomonadota; Gammaproteobacteria; Oceanospirillales; Halomonadaceae
Description: partial 16S ribosomal RNA
Rfam family: Bacterial small subunit ribosomal RNA
Source: RNAcentral
CCUACGGGGGGCUGCAGUGGGGAAUAUUGGACAAUGGGGGGAACCCUGAUCCAGCCAUGCCGCGUGUGUGAAGAAGGCCCUCGGGUUGUAAAGCACUUUCAGUGAGGAAGAACGCCUGGUGGUUAAUACCCAGCAGGAAAGACAUCACUCACAGAAGAAGCACCGGCUAACUCCGUGCCAGCAGCCGCGGUAAUACGGAGGGUGCGAGCGUUAAUCGGAAUUACUGGGCGUAAAGCGCGCGUAGGUGGCUUGAUAAGCCGGUUGUGAAAGCCCCGGGCUCAACCUGGGAACGGCAUCCGGAACUGUCAAGCUAGAGUGCAGGAGAGGAAGGUAGAAUUCCCGGUGUAGCGGUGAAAUGCGUAGAGAUCGGGAGGAAUACCAGUGGCGAAGGCGGCCUUCUGGACUGACACUGACACUGAGGUGCGAAAGCGUGGGUAGCAAACAGGAUUAGAUACCCUUGUAGUC